GAUGAAGAACGCAGUGAAAUGCGAUAAGUAAUGUGAAUUGCAGAAUUCAGUGAAUCAUCGAAUCUUUGAACGCACAUUGCGCCCCUUGGUAUUCCGGGGGGCAUGCCUGUUCGAGCGUCAUUAUAACCCCUCAAGCUCAGCUUGGUGUUGGGGCCUGCCGACUGGCAGCCCUUAAAAUCAGUGGCGGCGCCAUCUGGCUCUAAGCGUAGUAAUUCUUCUCGCUCUGGAGGUCCGGUCGUGUGCUUGCCAGCAACCCCCAAUUUUUUUCAGGUUGACCUCGGAUCAGGUAGGGAUACCCGCUGAACUUAAGCAUAUCAAUAAGCGGAGGA
Molecule: unclassified non-coding RNA, 329 nt
Filed under: soil metagenome
Description: partial contains 5.8S ribosomal RNA, internal transcribed spacer 2, and large subunit ribosomal RNA
Rfam family: 5.8S ribosomal RNA (bases 1-120)
Source: RNAcentral